RNAcentral lists this unclassified non-coding RNA (377 nucleotides) under uncultured fungus. Its description in RNAcentral is "sequence contains ITS2". Lineage: Eukaryota; Fungi. The record is from RNAcentral.
AACGCAAAUUGCACUUUCUGGAUAGGCCAGGGAGUAUGCCUCUUUGAGCAUCGUUUCUACCCAACCUCGUUAGCUUUCUUGUGUAAAAACAAGAGAGCGAGCGGAUAAUGCGCUUCUCGCUGGAAACAGGGAGUGGCGUUAAGAAGAGCGAGCUCUUUUCAUAGUGUUAGACCCGCAAGGGGCGCCUUAUAGUUUAUAUAUUAGGUUAUCACUUUGGAUGUAGAUAAAUUUAUUUAUAUGACAUUCAAUAUGGAAAUCUAAUCGAAUUACUAGGCUAAGAUACUUAGAAUAUGAGUUUUCGAUGAAAAUUAAACUUGAUUCCUCGGAAUCAUUUUGAAUUAGAUCUCAAAUGAAGCAAGAUUACCCGCUGAACUUAA